This 83-nucleotide transfer RNA is filed under the name Danio rerio (zebrafish). Its description in RNAcentral is "tRNA-Leu (TAA) (tRNA-Leu-TAA-18-1)". It matches the Rfam family "tRNA". Rfam says of the family: Transfer RNA (tRNA) molecules are approximately 80 nucleotides in length. Their secondary structure includes four short double-helical elements and three loops (D, anti-codon, and T loops). The record is from Rfam by way of RNAcentral. Lineage: Eukaryota; Metazoa; Chordata; Actinopteri; Cypriniformes; Danionidae.
ACCAGUAUGGCCGAGUGGUUAAGGCGUUGGACUUAAGAUCCAAUGGACAAAUGUCCUCGUGGGUUCGAACCCCACUUCUGGUA